Molecule: ribosomal RNA, 420 nt
Filed under: uncultured bacterium
Lineage: Bacteria
Description: bacterial SSU rRNA
Rfam family: Bacterial small subunit ribosomal RNA
Source: RNAcentral
GGGAUAUUGGGCAAUGGUCGGAAGACUGACCCAGCCAUGCCGCGUGAGGGAAUGAGGCCCUACGGGUCGUGAACCUCUUUUAUUCGGGGACAAGGCGGCGCACGAGAUGCGUUGUUGAGGGUACCGAAGGAAUAAGCAUCGGCUAACUCCGUGCCAGCAGCCGCGGUAAUACGGAGGAUGCGAGCGUUAUCCGGAUUCAUUGGGUUUAAAGGGUGCGCAGGCGGCCUGGCAAGUCAGCGGUGAAAGCCCGGGGCCCAACCCCGGAAGUGCCGUUGAUACUGUUGGGCUCGAAUGCGGUCAAGGCGGGCGGAACGUGGCGUGUAGCGGUGAAAUGCGUAGAUAUGCCACAGAACGCCGAUAGCGAAGGCAGCUCGCCAGGCAUGCAUUGACGCUCGGGCACGAAAGCGUGGGGAUCGAACA